This is a long non-coding RNA of Phyllopteryx taeniolatus (common seadragon), 614 nucleotides long. RefSeq lists it as uncharacterized. NCBI's taxonomy places the organism in Eukaryota, Metazoa, Chordata, Actinopteri, Syngnathiformes, Syngnathidae. The record is from RefSeq and is a predicted model, not a curated record. The transcript has 3 exons.
ACUGCGCAGGAGGAAGGAGUGUGCGCCGGUGCGUGCGCACAGCAGCAAGUGUAGUGACAUCGACCGGGGAGGGGAACGAUUAGCGGAGGACCCGUUGACGUUGAAUGUGCAGAGGAGCUAAUAAAGCCAUUAAAGCGGCAAAUCGGUACUUCCAGCCUUUAUUGUUGCCGCCACCCGGCUCAGCUGUGCCACGAGAGAAGGGAGUUAACCCCUGCGUCUCCCGACCAGGUGACGCUACAGGGUGUCGUCAGCUGGGAUAGGUUCCAGCGCCCCGUGACCCUAGCCAGGAAAAGCGGUGAUGAAAAUGGAUGGAUAGAUGGACCUUGGAUCCCUCAGGCGGCACUGCAUCAAAAACCGACAUCAUUGUGUAAAGGAUGUCACCAUAUGGGAUCAGGAACACUUCAAAAAAACAAUGUCACGUCCCAACUGGCGGCACGGUGGAAGACUGGUUAGAAGAAGAAGAAGAAGAAGAAGAAGAAUCAUCUUUUAUUGUCAUGAACAUGCAUGCAUGCACACGAAAUUUGUUCUCUGCAUUUAACCCAUCACAGUGAACACAUACACAUGUUAGUGGAACACACUGGAGCAGGGGGCAGCUGAAGCGCCCGGGGAGCAUU